AAGGCUUGACAUAUAGGGAAAAGUGGCAGAGAUGUCAUGUCCGCAAGGGCUCUAUACAGGUGGUGCAUGGUUGUCGUCAGCUCGUGUCGUGAGAUGUUGGGUUAAGUCCCGCAACGAGCGCAACCCUCGUUCUGUGUUGCCAGCAUUUAGUUGGGGACUCACAGGAGACUGCCGGGGUUAACUCGGAGGAAGGUGGGGAUGACGUCAAAUCAUCAUGCCCCUUAUGUCUUGGGCUGCACGCAUGCUACAAUGGCCGGUACAGAGGGCUGCAAUACCGCAAGGUGGAGCGAAUCCCAAAAAGCCGGUCUCAGUUCGGAUUGAGGUCUGCAACUCGACCUCAUGAAGUUGGAGUUGCUAGUAAUCGAGAUCAGCAACGUACGGGAAC
RNAcentral lists this ribosomal RNA (385 nucleotides) under uncultured Actinomycetes bacterium. Its description in RNAcentral is "bacterial SSU rRNA". It matches the Rfam family "Bacterial small subunit ribosomal RNA", at positions 976 to 1366 of the family's 1533-position model. The record is from RNAcentral. Lineage: Bacteria; Bacillati; Actinomycetota; Actinomycetes.